ACAUUUAAAAAAUCCUUACGUUACGCCUUACGAUACGUAAGAAAACUCGAUACGUGGUAAGAAUUUGCAUAGGAAAUGUCAGAAAUCUUUACGAUUUACGUCAGUUUUACGAAGCACCUAAAUAAGCCUUACGUUAUCCAUUACGUUACGUAAGUAAACACUUCACGUCUUAGGUGGACAAACACAUUUCUUACUUCUCACUAAAUACAUAUUUUGCAUACAUUCAAGCUGAUUUACGUAUCUCAAUUUAACACCAAAAAACGCUGUGCCUCGACUAAAGUUCUGUUUCACAUUGCUGCCCAUCGAGCCUUAUGUUACGUAAAUCAUGGCAGUGCCCAGCAACCCCUUAAGUAAGUCAACCCUUAUUUCGAUCCCAGUUGGACUUAAGCAGACAAUGGCGAACCCUUCCUUCAAACAUCACCAAUCUAUUUCCAUGGCUGUCUGAUGAUGUCUGGCUGCCCAGAAGUAGCGUGGAAGGAGAGAAGGGAACUGGGGGGACGUAGUUGUUACGAAGGUGGGGUUAAGGAUAAUGUUCUUGUCAGCUAUGCGCCGUGAUUUGAUUGAAUUUUUGUGGUCUGGCGCUGACGCUGACGCUGGAGAAUCCCUGUCGAAGUCGAAGAUUUGCGUGCAAUUUCUUUUUACGUUUUAAUUAAAAAGUGUCGCUUUGUGUGAAUGUCCAUUUGACUGAUGGCUCAAACUAGACGGUGAGA
Non-coding RNA from Drosophila virilis, 710 nucleotides. The record is from RefSeq and is a predicted model, not a curated record. Lineage: Eukaryota; Metazoa; Arthropoda; Insecta; Diptera; Drosophilidae.